UAAACGACUCUCGGCAACGGAUAUCUCGGCUCUCGCAUCGAUGAAGAACGUAGCGAAAUGCGAUACUUGGUGUGAAUUGCAGAAUCCCGCGAACCAUCGAGUCUUUGAACGCAAGUUGCGCCCGAAGCCAUUAGGUCGAGGGCACGUCUGCCUGGGCGUCUCGC
This 164-nucleotide ribosomal RNA is filed under the name Camellia grijsii. RNAcentral's name for it is "5.8S ribosomal RNA". It matches the Rfam family "5.8S ribosomal RNA". From Rfam's summary of the family: 5.8S ribosomal RNA (5.8S rRNA) is a component of the large subunit of the eukaryotic ribosome. It is transcribed by RNA polymerase I as part of the 45S precursor that also contains 18S and 28S rRNA. Functionally, it is thought that 5.8S rRNA may be involved in ribosome translocation. Lineage: Eukaryota; Viridiplantae; Streptophyta; Magnoliopsida; Ericales; Theaceae. The record is from RNAcentral. RNAcentral also lists the same sequence under 2 other names.